RNAcentral lists this long non-coding RNA (897 nucleotides) under Sarcophilus harrisii (Tasmanian devil). RNAcentral describes it as "lncRNA (ENSSHAG00000024367.1)". The record is from RNAcentral. Lineage: Eukaryota; Metazoa; Chordata; Mammalia; Dasyuromorphia; Dasyuridae.
CCCAGUUUAAGAAACAAUGCUUUAAAGAUUUAAAUUAUGCUAACAUAAAAGAGAGGUAGGAUUUGCAUUAUAGUGUCAAUGUUACCUCAUAAAGAUCAGAUGAUUAUUUCCUCAUCACUCCCAUCAGAAAAGCAGAUCCAAACAACAUUUACAAUAUUUUCAAUAUGAAGAACUACAACACAGUUGUAACAGGACUUUGGGGCAUAUAUAGAUCACCUAAGAUGGAGACAACCACAUUAGAGAUGACAUGGACCCGUAUCAAGUUGAAGACUAUCUUGUAGUCCCAUGACUUUGGGAAAAGACAUUCUACAGUCUCCUAGCACAAAGGAGCGUACAUUAGCAAAGGUUUCAGUCACCUACAGCAUGGACAUUAUGCACUAAGGCAGAUUCAUCAAAGUCCAAUGGCAAGAUUGAGGUCUAAAGUGAUGGUCCAGGAUGCAGAGGAUAAUCUUGACAUCGUUUAUGUUUGAUCAAGCUCUAAGUGUUCCCAUAAUACCUGCUUCAGUUAUCUUCAUGAUCACUAGAAUAAAAUGUUCUCAUCUGCCUAUUCCUCUAGGGGAAAUCUUCAUAUGCUUGAGGUAGACAUACUCCUAAAUUCACUGCCAUCAUGGGUUCAAGGUUUUUGAGAUAUCUUAACCUGGUUUAUCCCACGUGCCAAGAAGAACUUACUGGAGUGUGAUCUCUGUACAUGCUACAACUUCUUAGAGCCACAGAAGAGACGUGAGUGCCAGAUGGACCCCAGAUAUGGAUGAGCAUUGCUGAAAAUUCAACAAGCCCUCACAUUACAGGCACUAGUCCUCCUUGAAUACCCCACAUACCCCAUAUAUUAAAUAUAUACAAUAUAAAUGUAUAUACAUAAACGUAUAUAUUUCUUUUCCAUUUUAAUGAAAAUCUUUC